RNAcentral lists this unclassified non-coding RNA (154 nucleotides) under uncultured Derxomyces. RNAcentral's name for it is "sequence contains ITS2". The record is from RNAcentral. Lineage: Eukaryota; Fungi; Basidiomycota; Tremellomycetes; Tremellales.
UAGACCUUCACCCGAUCAUUUUUCAUUAAGUGAUUGUUUUCUGGUGCUUUGGACGUUCUGCCAUUAACCCUGGCUCGUCUUAAAUGUCUUAGUGGAACGAUGGCAUGAUAAGUCAUUUGCCUGACCCGUCCACUCUAAAACUCUAUAUUUCAAG